This 625-nucleotide ribosomal RNA is filed under the name Propionibacteriaceae bacterium Se1Pw_3194. RNAcentral's name for it is "bacterial SSU rRNA". It matches the Rfam family "Bacterial small subunit ribosomal RNA", at positions 388 to 1022 of the family's 1533-position model. The record is from RNAcentral. Lineage: Bacteria; Bacillati; Actinomycetota; Actinomycetes; Propionibacteriales; Propionibacteriaceae.
GCAGCAACGCCGCGUGCGGGAUGACGGCCUUCGGGUUGUAAACCGCUUUCAGCAGGGACGAAGCAACACGUGACGGUACCUGCAGAAGAAGCACCGGCCAACUACGUGCCAGCAGCCGCGGUGAUACGUAGGGUGCGAGCGUUGUCCGGAAUUAUUGGGCGUAAAGAGCUUGUAGGCGGUCUAUUGCGUCGAAAGUGAAAACUCAGGGCUCAACCCUGAGCCUGCUCUCGAUACGGGUAGACUUGAGGGAUGUAGGGGAGAACGGAAUUCUUGGUGGAGCGGUGGAAUGCGCAGAUAUCAGGAGGAACACCGGUGGCGAAGGCGGUUCUCUGGACAUUUCCUGACGCUGAGAAGCGAAAGCGUGGGUAGCAAACAGGCUUAGAUACCCUGGUAGUCCACGCCGUAAACGGUGGGUACUAGGUGUGGGGGACAUUCCACGUUCUCCGUGCCGCAGCUAACGCAUUAAGUACCCCGCCUGGGGAGUACGGCCGCAAGGCUAAAACUCAAAGGAAUUGACGGGGCCCCGCACAAGCGGCGGAGCAUGCGGAUUAAUUCGAUGCAACGCGAAGAACCUUACCUGGGUUUGACAUAUGCCGGAAGGCCUAGAGAUAGGUCCCCCCUUGUG